AAGAGCUUCCCCACGGAUCUGAUGCAGCCGUCGGGCCGCUGGUGUUUGGACAGCCACCUCCUGGCGUCGAUAAUGUGCUGGGGAUGCACAAAGAUGUACGGCGUCGCCCCGCCGAAAGACUUCAUCACAAAAGAGACUCCACGCUCCUGAGAGAAUACUGAAGAAGUGAGCCAGUGUCCUCAACACAGCAACAGCCUUGCUGGGGAACUGGACCCCGAGAUCUGCUUUUAACUCUUCCCCAGAACUGAAAGAUUAUUUAGACCGCUGCAUUUACUUAAAUAAAAGAAAAGUAAAUUAA
Acanthopagrus latus (yellowfin seabream) is the source of this 298-nucleotide long non-coding RNA. RefSeq lists it as uncharacterized. The transcript has 2 exons. NCBI's taxonomy places the organism in Eukaryota, Metazoa, Chordata, Actinopteri, Spariformes, Sparidae. The record is from RefSeq and is a predicted model, not a curated record.